CCUGGUAAUUAUUGCGAAAGAGUAAUACCCGAUCCCAUUCCGAACUCGGAAGUCAAGCCUUUCUGCGCCGAUGGUACUUAGUCUUAAGACUUGGAAGAGUAGGACGUUGCCAGGC
RNAcentral lists this ribosomal RNA (115 nucleotides) under Candidatus Pelagibacter sp. Lineage: Bacteria; Pseudomonadati; Pseudomonadota; Alphaproteobacteria; Candidatus Pelagibacterales; Candidatus Pelagibacteraceae. The record is from RNAcentral.